GCGGCCCCGGCCCGCGGUCCCCGGGAGAGGCCGCGGCGAGCGCCUCUCGAUCGGCGCUGAGGGCGCGGCGAGCACCGGGAGGGGGGCUCGGCCCGAGCAGGGAAGGGAGGGGAAAGUCCCCCCCAGCCUCCUGGAGGCUGUUACGAGGAUUGGGAGUAAGAUCAGCUCUUCCCUCUGGAGAACUACUCACUGGAGAAGCAGUUUUCCUGGAAGAACCCAUUUGUGAUUGUUUUUUCUUUCUUUUACAACCAGCAAUUCUAUUAUAUCAUAAGCCAGUGUAAUAAAGUACAACAGCAUCAAGCUUAGUCCAGCCCCCAGAGGUGAUAAACAGCACAAAGGCAACUUGGACACCAAGGACAUCAUCACAUGACACAAACGUGAGAACAAGCACAACAACUGAGAACAACACUGUGACCACUGACUAUUAAAUUAAUUAAUUCAUUAAUAUAAUGAAUGCUUGUAACAAAUCUGUUUUACACACUCUGGUCAGAUCUGUUGUUAUCUCCACCCUUCAUGCCCCACAUUGGGCUCCAAAAAGAUCUGUCACAGUUUAACUCCACUAGCAAUUAGGUACCAGGCAACUGCUCAUUCACCACCCUCACUUCCUGCUGGGAUGGGGAAGAGGAUGGGAAUAAAAGGGCAAAACUCAUGGGUUGAAGUAAGAACAAUUUAAUAACUGAAAUAAAAUAUAAUAAAUAAUAAUACUACAACUGUAACGAAAAGAUGACAAAGGGAAUGAGAAAUAAAACCCAGCAGACAGGUGAUGCGCACUACAGGUGCUCAAUGCAGCCUGACUGAUGCCCAGAAUGUCCCCAAGCAGCAAUUGGCUCCUGGCCAGCUUCCCCCAUGUCUGUGCUUGGCACAGUGUUCUGUGGUAUGGAAUGUCCCUUGGGCCAAUUUGGGUCAGCUGUCCCAGCCCUGCUCCCUCCCAGCUCUUUCUACACCUGCCUGCUGCCAGAGCAUGGGAAACUGGAAAACUUUUAACUUAGAGCAAGCAGGAUUUAGCAACAACUAAAACAUCAGUUUGUUACCAACAUUAUUCUCUCACUGCCUCCAAAACACAGCCCUGGACCAGCUAUUAGGAGGAAAGUUAACUCCCAGCUGAAACCAGGACACAGAUUAAAGCUAAAAUCCUGCAACCAUUAUGAUUUUAAAACCCAGCAGGGCUCCAGAUGUGUUUUAUUAAUUACUGCUAUAAUAAAAAAAUGGUGUAUUCAACCAGAACAUCCAUGUUUGUUUUAAUAUGAAUUCAUUGUAUAAUCAACAGGUUUUAAGAUAACAUCAAAUGUCUCAAAAUUGCUUUCAGCAUCCAGGCUCUCUUCCAAGAAAUUCAGUUGGAUCACAUAAAAAUAAAUACUGAGGUUUCAAUUAUCAA
Non-coding RNA from Cyanistes caeruleus (blue tit), 1375 nucleotides. The record is from RefSeq and is a predicted model, not a curated record. Lineage: Eukaryota; Metazoa; Chordata; Aves; Passeriformes; Paridae.